Molecule: ribosomal RNA, 301 nt
Filed under: uncultured bacterium
Lineage: Bacteria
Description: partial 16S ribosomal RNA
Rfam family: Bacterial small subunit ribosomal RNA
Source: RNAcentral
CAGCCGCCGCGGUAAUACGUAGGACGCAAGCGUUAUCCGGAAUUAUUGGGCGUAAAGAGCUCGUAGGCGGUUUGUCGCGUCUGCCGUGAAAGUCCGGGGCUCAACCCCGGAUCUGCUGUGGGUACGGGCAGACUAGAGUGAUGUAGGGGAGACUGGAAUUCCUGGUGUAGCGGUGAAAUGCGCAGAUAUCAGGAGGAACACCGAUGGCGAAGGCAGGUCUCUGGGCAUUAACUGACGCUGAGGCACGAAAGCGUGGGGAGCAAACAGGAUUAGAGACCCCUGUAGUCCCUGUCUCUUAUAC